This 440-nucleotide ribosomal RNA is filed under the name uncultured bacterium. Its description in RNAcentral is "partial 16S ribosomal RNA". It matches the Rfam family "Bacterial small subunit ribosomal RNA", at positions 338 to 795 of the family's 1533-position model. The record is from RNAcentral.
CCUACGGGAGGCAGCAGUGGGGGAUAUUGCACAAUGGGGGAAACCCUGAUGCAGCGACGCCGCGUGUGGGAAGACGGUCCUCUGGAUUGUAAACCACUGUCCCCAGGGACGAAGAUGACGGUACCUGGGGAGGAAGCUCCGGCUAACUACGUGCCAGCAGCCGCGGUAAUACGUAGGGAGCGAGCGUUGUCCGGAAUGACUGGGUGUAAAGGGAGCGUAGGCGGGACUGCAAGUUGGGUGUCAAAUCUACCGGCUCAACCGGUAGCCGCACUCAAAACUGCAGUUCUUGAGUGAAGUAGAGGCAGGCGGAAUUCCUAGUGUAGCGGUGAAAGGCGUAGAUAGUAGGAGGAACACCAGUGGCGAAGGCGGCCUGCUGGGCUUUUACUGACGCUGAGGCUCGAAAGUGUGGGGAGCAAACAGGAUUAGAUACCCUGGUAGUC